GGUGACUAUAUCGGAAAGGAAACACCCGUUCCCAUCCCGAACACGGCCGUUAAGCUUUCCGAGCCGAUG
RNAcentral lists this ribosomal RNA (69 nucleotides) under Pirellulaceae bacterium. Lineage: Bacteria; Pseudomonadati; Planctomycetota; Planctomycetia; Pirellulales; Pirellulaceae. The record is from RNAcentral.